RNAcentral lists this ribosomal RNA (292 nucleotides) under uncultured Bradyrhizobium sp. RNAcentral describes it as "partial 16S ribosomal RNA". It matches the Rfam family "Bacterial small subunit ribosomal RNA", at positions 505 to 796 of the family's 1533-position model. Lineage: Bacteria; Pseudomonadati; Pseudomonadota; Alphaproteobacteria; Hyphomicrobiales; Nitrobacteraceae. The record is from RNAcentral.
GUGUCAGCCGCCGCGGUAAUACGAAGGGGGCUAGCGUUGCUCGGAAUCACUGGGCGUAAAGGGUGCGUAGGCGGGUCUUUAAGUCAGGGGUGAAAUCCUGGAGCUCAACUCCAGAACUGCCUUUGAUACUGAAGAUCUUGAGUUCGGGAGAGGUGAGUGGAACUGUGAGUGUAGAGGUGAAAUUCGUAGAUAUUCGCAAGAACACCAGUGGCGAAGGCGGCUCACUGGCCCGAUACUGACGCUGAGGCACGAAAGCGUGGGGAGCAAAUAGGAUUAGAUACCCCUGUAGUCC